AGCGAACGCUGGCGGCAGGCCUAACACAUGCAAGUCGAGCGCUCGUAGCAAUACGAGAGCGGCAGACGGGAGAGUAACACGUGGGAACGUACCCUUCAGUUCGGAACAACCCAGGGAAACGUUGGGCUAAUACCGGAUACGUCCGUAAGGAGAAAGAUUUAUCGCUGAAGGAUCGGCCCGCGUCUGAUUAGCUAGUUGGUGAGGUAACGGCUCACCAAGGCUACGAUCAGUAGCNGGUCUGAGAGGAUGAUCAGCCU
This 257-nucleotide ribosomal RNA is filed under the name uncultured bacterium. Its description in RNAcentral is "partial 16S ribosomal RNA". It matches the Rfam family "Bacterial small subunit ribosomal RNA", at positions 29 to 310 of the family's 1533-position model. The record is from RNAcentral.